AAAUCUUUUAAGUGUGUACUUUUUUCGUUGCACAGUUUUAAGUAGCAUACAAACCACCAUAAUAUGCAGGCACAGAAUGCAUUUUAUGUAUAUUUAUUGCUGAUGGAUAAUGGUGCAGGGGUAAUGGAGUCAAGUGCCUGUGUAUAGCAUGCCUUACGUGGGAGCAGCUGUUUUAUGAAUUAAAAGUUUGGGACAGAAAUGAUACAGAACUUAGAGAAUUUUUGUGCACCACACUGGGCUGCCCAUUACGCAAUACUGCUAGCAACAUUGAUGAGUGAUUUGAUUGUAAGAGCUCCUCUACCCAUGCCUGUGGGUCCUGUCAAAUGAUCCUGUUAUGGUGACUGAGCCCACUGGGUGAUGUCAUCGAUGGUGCCUAUCUAAACAUUCUUGUUCAAAAUCUACUUUGUAUUUUUGGAAAAGCCUUACAAUCAAAAU
Molecule: long non-coding RNA, 435 nt
Organism: Schistocerca americana (American grasshopper)
Lineage: Eukaryota; Metazoa; Arthropoda; Insecta; Orthoptera; Acrididae
Exons: 3
Source: RefSeq, a predicted model, not a curated record